ACCAAGCCAACGCAAGGGGUCCUGAAGUGGGGUCUGGAAAAGCGGUAUGGAGUGUGAGGUGUAGCCCCCGAAGAACGGGGA
Tupaia belangeri (northern tree shrew) is the source of this 81-nucleotide non-coding RNA. Lineage: Eukaryota; Metazoa; Chordata; Mammalia; Scandentia; Tupaiidae. The record is from Rfam.